Molecule: ribosomal RNA, 460 nt
Filed under: uncultured bacterium
Lineage: Bacteria
Description: partial 16S ribosomal RNA
Rfam family: Bacterial small subunit ribosomal RNA
Source: RNAcentral
AGCGAACGCUGGCGGCAGGCUUAACACAUGCAAGUCGAGCGGGCACUUUCGGGUGUCAGCGGCGGACGGGUGGGUAACGCGUGGGAACGUGCCCUCUGGUUCGGAAUAACUCAGGGAAACUUGAGCUAAUACCGGAUACGCCCUUUUGGGGAAAGGUUUGCUGCCGGAGGAUCGGCCCGCGUCUGAUUAGCUAGUUGGUGCGUUAACGGCUUACCAAGGCGGGGAUGGGAAGCUGGUCUGAGAGGGUGAUCCGCCACACUGGGACUGAGACAGGCCCCAGACUCCUGGGGGAAGAAGCAGUAGGGACUCCUCCGGAAGGGGCGAGAGGGUAAUGGAGCAAAGCGGCGGGAGUGAUGAAGGACCUCGGACCGGAAAGUUAUGAUAGCAUGGGAGUACAAAUGUGUUUGUAACCGUGCACGUAUUGACGGUACCUAAUCAGAAAGCCCCGGCUAACUACGUG